This 459-nucleotide ribosomal RNA is filed under the name uncultured bacterium. Its description in RNAcentral is "partial 16S ribosomal RNA". It matches the Rfam family "Bacterial small subunit ribosomal RNA", at positions 338 to 795 of the family's 1533-position model. The record is from RNAcentral.
CCUACGGGAGGCAGCAGUGAGGAAUAUUGGUCAAUGGUCGGGAGACUGAACCAGCCAAGCCGCGUGAGGGAUGACGGUACAGAGUAUCGUAAACCUCUUUUGUCAGGGAACAAAGGCGGGGACGUGUCCCCGGAUGAGUGUACCUGAAGAAAAAGCAUCGGCUAACUCCGUGCCAGCAGCCGCGGUAAUACGGGGGAUGCGCGCGUUAUCCGGAUUUAUUGGGUUUAAAGGGUGCGCAGGCGGUCUGUUAAGUCAGCGGUAAAAGCCCGGGGCUCAACCCCGGCCCGCCGUUGAAACUGGCAGUCUCGAGUUGGAGAGAAGUAGGCGGAAUGCGCGGUGUAGCGGUGAAAUGCAUAGAUAUCGCGCAGAACUCCGAUUGCGAAGGCAGCAUGCCGGCUCCACACUGACGCUGAGGCACGAAAGCGUGGGUAUCGAACAGGAUUAGAUACCCGAGUAGUC